RNAcentral lists this ribosomal RNA (679 nucleotides) under Priestia aryabhattai. RNAcentral's name for it is "bacterial SSU rRNA". It matches the Rfam family "Bacterial small subunit ribosomal RNA", at positions 57 to 718 of the family's 1533-position model. Lineage: Bacteria; Bacillati; Bacillota; Bacilli; Caryophanales; Bacillaceae. The record is from RNAcentral.
GCAGUCGAGCGAACUGAUUAGAAGCUUGCUUCUAUGACGUUAGCGGCGGACGGGUGAGUAACACGUGGGCAACCUGCCUGUAAGACUGGGAUAACUUCGGGAAACCGAAGCUAAUACCGGAUAGGAUCUUCUCCUUCAUGGGAGAUGAUUGAAAGAUGGUUUCGGCUAUCACUUACAGAUGGGCCCGCGGUGCAUUAGCUAGUUGGUGAGGUAACGGCUCACCAAGGCAACGAUGCAUAGCCGACCUGAGAGGGUGAUCGGCCACACUGGGACUGAGACACGGCCCAGACUCCUACGGGAGGCAGCAGUAGGGAAUCUUCCGCAAUGGACGAAAGUCUGACGGAGCAACGCCGCGUGAGUGAUGAAGGCUUUCGGGUCGUAAAACUCUGUUGUUAGGGAAGAACAAGUACGAGAGUAACUGCUCGUACCUUGACGGUACCUAACCAGAAAGCCACGGCUAACUACGUGCCAGCAGCCGCGGUAAUACGUAUGUGGCAAGCGUUAUCCGGAAUUAUUGGGCGUAAAGCGCGCGCAGGCGGUUUCUUAAGUCUGAUGUGAAAGCCCACGGCUCAACCGUGGAGGGUCAUUGGAAACUGGGGAACUUGACUGCAGAAGAGAACAGAGGAAUUCCACUUGUAGCGAAGAAAUGCGAAAAUAUGUGGAGGAACACCAGUGACGA